GAUGAAGAACGCAGUGAAAUGCGAUAAGUAAUGUGAAUUGCAGAAUUCAGUGAAUCAUCGAAUCUUUGAACGCACCUUGCGCCCUUUGGCUAUUCCGAAGGGCAUGCCUGUUUGAGUAUCGUGAACACCUCAACUCUCAUGGUUUGCCAUGAUGAGCUUGGACUUUGGGGGUUUUGCUGGCCUUUGGUCGGCUCCUCUCAAACGGAUCAGCUUUCCAGUGUUUGGUGGCGACUCACGGGUGUGAUAACUAUCUACGCCUGUGGUUUUCUGCCAGAUAACUUUCAGCGAUGGAGGUUCGCUGGGGCUCAUAAAUGUCUCUCUUCAGUGGAGACAGCUUUUUGGACGUUUGAUCUCAAAUCAGGUAGGACUACCCGCUGAACUUAAGCAUAUCAAUAAGCGGAGGA
Molecule: unclassified non-coding RNA, 404 nt
Filed under: soil metagenome
Description: partial contains 5.8S ribosomal RNA, internal transcribed spacer 2, and large subunit ribosomal RNA
Rfam family: 5.8S ribosomal RNA (bases 1-121)
Source: RNAcentral